UACGUAGGGGGCUAGCGUUGUCCGGAAUCAUUGGGCGUAAAGCGCGUGUAGGCGGUUCGGUAAGUCCGCUGUGAAAGUCGGGGGCUCGACCCUCGGAUGCCGGUGGAUACUGUCGGACUAGAGUACGGAAGAGGCGAGUGGAAUUCCUGGUGUAGCGGUGAAAUGCGCAGAUAUCAGGAGGAACACCAAUUGCGAAGGCAGCUCGCUGGGACGUUACUGACGCUGAGACGCGAAAGCGUGGGGAGCAAACAGG
RNAcentral lists this ribosomal RNA (253 nucleotides) under uncultured bacterium. Its description in RNAcentral is "partial 16S ribosomal RNA". It matches the Rfam family "Bacterial small subunit ribosomal RNA", at positions 524 to 776 of the family's 1533-position model. The record is from RNAcentral.